UUCCAGCUCCAAUAGCGUAUAUUAAAGUUGUUGCGGUUAAAAAGCUCGUAGUUGAAUCUGUGUCCCGUGCUGUCGGUUCACCGCCCGCGGUGCUAACUGGCACGUCUCACGGGACGUCCUGCCGGUGGAAGGUUAAUCACCGUGUGCUGUCUGGGGUCUGCGACGUUUGCGCGUACAGAAUUCCCGGGUGUUCGAUGAUCCUUCCGACUUUUUUAAAUCCUGUCGCGGUGCUCUUAAUUGAGUGUCGAGGCGGGCCGGCACGUUUACUUUGAACAAAUUAGAGUGCUCAAAGCAGGCUAAAAUUUCGCCUGAAUACUGUGUGCAUGGAAUAAUGAAACAGGACCUCGGUUCUAUUUUGUUGGUUUUCGGAACCCCGAGGUAAUGAUUAAUAGGGACGGCCGG
RNAcentral lists this ribosomal RNA (402 nucleotides) under Nebria castanea. RNAcentral's name for it is "bacterial SSU rRNA". It matches the Rfam family "Eukaryotic small subunit ribosomal RNA", at positions 583 to 885 of the family's 1831-position model. The record is from RNAcentral. Lineage: Eukaryota; Metazoa; Arthropoda; Insecta; Coleoptera; Carabidae.